This 253-nucleotide ribosomal RNA is filed under the name uncultured bacterium. Its description in RNAcentral is "partial 16S ribosomal RNA". It matches the Rfam family "Bacterial small subunit ribosomal RNA", at positions 524 to 776 of the family's 1533-position model. The record is from RNAcentral.
UACGGAGGGGGCUAGCGUUGUUCGGAAUUACUUGGCGUAAAGGGCGCGCAGGCGGCCCUUGAAGUCAGGCGUGAAAGCCCCGGGCUCAACCUGGGAGGUGCGCUUGAUACUCGAGGGCUUGAGUGCGGGAGAGGAGAGUGGAAUUCCCAGUGUAGAGGUGAAAUUCGUAGAUAUUGGGAAGAACACCGGUGGCGAAGGCGGCUCUCUGGACCGUAACUGACGCUGAGGCGCGAAAGCGUGGGGAGCAAACAGG